CCCUUAGAUGUUCUGGGCCGCACGCGCGCUACACUGUCGGAUUCAGCGAGUCUUAACCUUAACCGAAAGGUUUGGGUAAUCUUUUGAAAGUCCGACGUGAUGGGGAUUGAUCAUUGCAAUUAUUGAUCAUGAACGAGGAAUUCCUAGUAAGCGCGAGUCAUCAGCUCGCGUUGAUUACGUCCCUGCCCUUUGUACACACCGCCCGUCGCUACUACCGAUUGAAUGGUUUAGUGAGAUCUUCGGAUUGGCGCCAUCGUGGCCUCGCGGCCAUGACGGAUGGCCGAAAAGUUGAUCAAACUUGAUCAUUUAGAGGAAGUAAAAGUCGUAACA
RNAcentral lists this ribosomal RNA (330 nucleotides) under uncultured eukaryote. RNAcentral describes it as "partial 18S ribosomal RNA". It matches the Rfam family "Eukaryotic small subunit ribosomal RNA", at positions 1470 to 1796 of the family's 1831-position model. The record is from RNAcentral.